Molecule: ribosomal RNA, 800 nt
Filed under: Oceanobacillus sp. Mg29
Lineage: Bacteria; Bacillati; Bacillota; Bacilli; Caryophanales; Bacillaceae
Description: bacterial SSU rRNA
Rfam family: Bacterial small subunit ribosomal RNA
Source: RNAcentral
AGUUGAUCCCCUUCGGGGGUGACGCUUGUGGAAUGAGCGGCGGACGGGUGAGUAACACGUGGGCAACCUGCCUGUAAGACUGGGAUAACCCCGGGAAACCGGGGCUAAUACCGGAUAAUACUUUCUUUUGCAUAAAGGAAAGUUGAAAGGCGGCUUCGGCUGUCACUUACAGAUGGGCCCGCGGCGCAUUAGCUAGUUGGUGAGGUAACGGCUCACCAAGGCGACGAUGCGUAGCCGACCUGAGAGGGUGAUCGGCCACACUGGGACUGAGACACGGCCCAGACUCCUACGGGAGGCAGCAGUAGGGAAUCUUCCGCAAUGGACGAAAGUCUGACGGAGCAACGCCGCGUGAGUGAUGAAGGUUUUCGGAUCGUAAAACUCUGUUGUUAGGGAAGAACAAGUACGAUAGUAACUGAUCGUACCUUGACGGUACCUAACCAGAAAGCCACGGCUAACUACGUGCCAGCAGCCGCGGUAAUACGUAGGUGGCAAGCGUUGUCCGGAAUUAUUGGGCGUAAAGCGCUCGCAGGCGGUCCUUUAAGUCUGAUGUGAAAUCUCGCGGCUCAACCGCGAACGGUCAUUGGAAACUGGAGGACUUGAGUACAGAAGAGGAGAGUGGAAUUCCACGUGUAGCGGUGAAAUGCGUAGAGAUGUGGAGGAACACCAGUGGCGAAGGCGACUCUCUGGUCUGUAACUGACGCUGAGGAGCGAAAGCGUGGGGAGCGAACAGGAUUAGAUACCCUGGUAGUCCACGCCGUAAACGAUGAGUGCUAGGUGUUAGGGGGUUUCCGCCCCUUAGU